CAGAGGCGGUGCUGGGAGCGAAGGGAGGCUCCGGUCCGCUCUGAGGGCACACGAUGUGACGGAUCCUGGCUCCCUCCGCUCCUCCCGGCGCACACCU
This is a microRNA precursor of Gallus gallus (chicken), 97 nucleotides long. Lineage: Eukaryota; Metazoa; Chordata; Aves; Galliformes; Phasianidae. The record is from Ensembl.